AGAUGAAAAGGGAAGGGAUUUUAUUUUUUUUAAAGUUUACCAAAGAUGAAAUACUGAUGACUAAUGAAAAAAGUUUUGUAGUACCUGAAAAAUUCAAAUGAAAACAAACAAUGCUUGCCAAGUGUAAGAAUGUUCUGAGUGUUUUUGUAUAUAUGGUUCAUUUAAUCAAGUCUGUGAAGGAGGCACAUUUGUUUACUCUUUUGUAGAUAAGAGUACAAGUCUAGAGGGGAUAAGUCAUCUACCGUGUGAUCUCCUUAACGAAGCAGUUGAGCUGCAGUCCUGAGCGCUUAUGGUCUGGCUCUAGGUCCACCAUAACCAUGUGCUGUAUGCUGUUGUAGAAGAUUCCAUUUUGCGUAUCAAACAGUAUUUGUAUAUAUAACAGCAAAGCCGAAGUGAGUAUAAGCCAGUUCAGCCUUUUUUUUUUUUUUUUUUUUUUUUUUUUUUUUUAAUUAGUGGUAGUUGUCAGUUGUAGUUGAGAGUUCUUACCUUUAACAACAAUUAAUUACCCAGGCGAAUAACCCGGGGAUGGAGUUUUGGCUAGGGGACUUGAAUUGUUGCAUAGCACAUAAAUUUAAAAAUAGGAAUUGUCCAUAUCAGAGGCUAGCAGAAGCCACCCCCUGAAACCAUCCCUGCAACACAAACAACCUGAGCCUCGUGGGUCAAUUUAUGUCAGCAGAUAGUAGGCGAUUAGAGACUUAGUUCAGACCUUUACUGUUAUCAUUCCAGAUUAGAGGCCAGUGAAUUCUACCAGGCUCUGCCAAUUCCCAGGCCAACUGAAGGUAAGAGAUGUUUUCAACCCUCAGGGAAGGGUUGGUGUGCUGGUGAUGAGCUGGAGGAAGGGAGGAGGCUCCAGUGAAGACGGGAGGAAUCUUUGAAGUGCUUAGGAGAACAAGAUACUUUACCAGUCACCCAGUAGAGAAGGAGCUUUUCUGUUCAUCAGCAUGAGUUCUACUGUCAUGAAAUUUAAAAGGUAAGUAGAACUUCCUUGGAGCCUUCUCCUGUGUUACAGGAAACUGGAGGGACCCAUAAGGGUCUGCUAGUGUCAUACUCACCAAACAGCUUCUCAGGCAUAGUUUCUUGAUCAUAUGUGUUUCACAAAGUGUCCACACUUUUGACACAUUUCUCCCAAGGUAGCUUUUUGAGAAGGAUAGGGUUAUCCGUCAUACACUGAAUUAAUCUGCCUGGUUGGCUCCAGCCCCUCCUCGUCAAAUCAGUCUCGCACUUUAACUGCUGGAAUCCUUCAGUCUGUCUGUGUGGCUCCAUGCUUAUCAAGGCCACAACAAUUUCAACCUUUUUCAUAACUCUGUAAUUGACACUUCUGCUCAGGCGUUUUCACUGAAUAAAAUGUGAGUUCUCUGCGCCUUUUCGUCUGAAUCUUUAACCUAUGUCAACUGUUCAAGUCCUUUCACUCCUAGGAGAGAAAACUAGCAACUGGUCAUUUUUAGGGGCAUUAUAAAUUGGACAGCCCUUUCAGGAGGCCAUAAAAAUAUUUGUAGCCUUUGUCCUGUUAUUCUUCUGGAAAUCUAAAGAAAGUAACCAAAAGUAUGAGAAACACUUUAUGCAGAAGAAUACAUCACAGUGAUUGAGAAUACCAAAGUAACAACUAUUUGGAGUAAGAAUAAGGUUAAUGAGGAGUCUCAGAGAAUAUUUUCAUUAAAGAGUGGUAAGGUUAAUGGAAAUCAGGAAAGAACAGUCAUCUAGAGCAUAACUAGGAAAGAGGUGAAAUACAUAGUUGAAGAAGUAAAGAAUGGCCAACUCAAGUGAAAUAAAGACUCAAAUUUGCCCACUGGGCUAACCAGGUAAGAAUUUAAACCUUACCCCUAGCUAUACCCAGGUAUUGGCAGGAACAAAAGCCAAACUACAUGUGGAAUUUAAGAGAUGGAAAGAAUGUAGAGCUAUCAAGAAGCUUGUCUAUGAAUGAAAAGAGGUAAAGGACUGUAAGCAGAAGGUAUACAGGCUAAAGAGGAGUUGUCUUUAAGAUGAAAGUCAGUUUACUUCUUUGUUCAUCCACUUGAUGCCUUAAGUGCCUUCUAUGAACCAGUAGUUUUAGUGUGAGAAUCAAUAAACAAGGUAUGGAGUUUUGCUUUGAUGCAGUGUUACUUUGUGGUAAUGGGCAGUGAACAAAUAUUUUAUGGCAUUUGAUGAAUGCUGUGAAAAAAAGGGUGAAGGGAUAGAAUGGUGUGAUAAGUGUAUAGUGCUUAAUUGUAUAAGGUGUCAAGGAAGACCUCUAAUGAGAUGACCUUUGAACAGAGACUUAACUGAGAAAACAAGAUGUGUGAGAUCUCAUCAAAGAUCCAAAAGGGGACUGUGCUUGGCUACUCUGAGCAACAACAAGGAUACCAGGAGAGCUUGAGCAGAGUGAGUGAGAGGGAACUCAGGGGAAUCUGAGGUCAAAGAGGUGGCAGUGGACUGAAUCUUUCUAGGUCUUGCUGAGGUUUGGAUUUCAUUUUGAGUCAAGAUGGCCUGUAGGCAUUGAGUAGAGAAUUUUUUAAGAACUUUCGUUGGUAAAAAGAUUACUAUGGCUGCUAUAUUGACAGACAAGAAAAUGGCAAACCAGCCAGGACACAAUUGUAAUAGUCUAAUUGUGAGCAAAACUUAGGCCCUGUGAGGUGUAUAGCUAAGACCUGGCCAAAGAUAAAACAUAAACAGUGGAAGGGAGAAAUAGGCAGUAAUACAAUAUUGGAAACUGACAUCAAUACUCAGUCUGCUUUCAUCAAAGGAUAGAUCAUCCAGGUAGAAAAUCAUAGAAGGAAGGAAAUAACAAAGGUCAGAGUGGAAAUGAAUAGAGACUAAAAGACAAUAGAGAAUGUGAAAUUAGGAUAAGAAUUGGGGCUUUUUGAAAAGAUAAAAUGGACAAACCGUUUUAGCUAAACUCACCAAGAAGAAAAGAGAUGCCUCAAAAUUAUAAAUGAAAGAGGGUUUAUACCACACAAAUACAAAAGCUCAUGAGAGACUACUACAAUUAUACACCAACAAACUGGACAACCUGGAAGGAAAUGGUUACAUUCCUAGAAACAUACACUCUACCAAGACCGAAUCAGGAAGAAAUAGAAAUUCUGAACAAACCAGUAAAUAGCAAGGACCUUGAAUCAGUAAUCAAAAAAACUCCCAACAAGGAAAAGUACAGUAUGAAAUGGCUUCACCAAUGACUUCCAAACAUUUAAAUAAUACCAACCCUUCUCAAACCUCCACAAAAUAGAAGAGUGUAUUUCCAAACUAAUUUUUCAAAGUCAUCGUUAUCUUGAUACUAAAACUAGACAAGUCAGUAUAAGAAAAAAAUUCACAAGCCAAUAAACUGGAUCAUGUAGUAUGUAUCAAUUGAAAAAAAUCUGCAUAUAAAUGCUCUCCAAGGGUCAGCUGUACUUAGGAAUACAUUUAACCAAGGAGAUGAAGGUGUAUAUACUGAAAGUUGUAAGACUGAUAAAAAAUGGAAGAGGACCCAAAAAUGGAAAGCUGUUCUGUAGUCUUGCAUUUGAAGAAUUAAUACUGUUAAAAUGCCCAUACCGCCCAAAGCAAUCUACAGUUCAGUGCUAUCCCUAUCAAAACUCCAAUGCCAUUUUUAAUAGAAUAGUCCUAAAGUUUGUAAGGAAUCACAAAAGACCCUGAAUAGUCAAAACAAUCUUGAGAAAGAGCAUCAAAGCUGGAAACAUCAUGUUUCCUCAUUUCAAACUACAUUACAAAGCUAUAGUCAUCAAAGUGGUAUGGUAUUAGUAUAAAAAUAGAUCAGUGGAACAGGAUAGAGAGUGCAGAAACAAACUUAGAAAUAUAUAGUCAACUUUCAGUAAACAAGCCAAAAAUAUACGAUGGAGGAAGGGAUAAUCUCUUCAGUAAAUAAUGUGAGGAAAAAAUUGCCACAUGCAUACGAACAAAAGUGGACCCCUAUCCUACACCAUAUACAAAAGUCAACUCAAUAAACUUAAAAGUUUUUGCACAGCAAAGGAAACCAAAAACAGGACAAAAAGACAACCCAAAGAAUGGGAGAAAAUACUUGCAAAUGGAGAAACUGACAAGGGAUUAAUCUCCAAAAUAUGUGAACAACUGAUGCAGCUCCAUAUAUUAAAAAGAAAAACUCAAUCAAAAAAUGGGCAGAAGAGCUAAAUAGACAUUUCUCCAAAGAGGCCAUAAAGGUGGCCAAAAAAAAAAAAAAAAAAAAAAAAACCACAUGAAAAGAUGCUUAGCAUCACUGGUUAUUAGAGAAAUGCAAAUAAAAACUUUAAUGAGGUAUCACCUUACACCAGUCAGAGUGGCCAUUAUCAAACGUCUACAAACAAUAAAUGCUACAGAGGGUGUGGAGAAAAGGCAACCCUCCUGCACUGUUGGUGGGAAUGUAAAUUGGUGUAACCACUGUGGAAAACAAUGUGGAGGUCCCUCAGCGAAAAAUAGAACAUAUUAUCCAGCAAUCCUCCUCCUGGGCAUGUAUCUAGAGAAAACCAUAAUUUGAAAAGAUACAUGCACCCUCAACAUUCACUGCAGCACUAUUUACAACAGCCAGGACGUGGAAGCAACCAAAAUGUCCGUUCACAGAGGAAAGGAUGAAGAUGUGUGUAUAUUUAUAUACAAUGGAAUAUUAACCAGCCAUUAAAAAAAGAAUGAAAUAACACUGUUUCAGCAACAUAGAUGGACCAUUAUCACACUAAGUGUAGUAAGUCAGAGGAAGACAAACACCACAUGAUAUCGCUUAUAAGUGGAAUCUAAGAAAAGGAUACAAGUGGAUGUAUUUGCAGAAUAGAAACAGACUCAGACUGAAAGAAAUUUAUGGUUACCAAAGGGGUAGGUGAGGGGAGAGAUGAAUUAGGGAUUGGCAUAUGCACACUGUGGUAUAUGGAAUGAUUGCCUAACAGAGAACUGCUGUAUAGAAGAGGGAAGUCUACCCAAUAUUCUGUGAUGAUCUAUAUGGGAAAAAAAUCUGAAAAAAAAAAGUAUGUGUAUAUAUGUAUAGCUAAAUCACUUUAUUCUACAGCAGAAAUUAUCACAAAAUUGCAAAUCAACUAUACUUUAAUAAAAUUGAAAAAAAAUCAGAAUUAUUGAAAGGCUUAAGUGUAAGACCUGAGACUGAAAAACCUCUGGAAAAAAACAUAGGGGGGUAAGUUCUUCAUCAUUGGUCUUGAGAAUUAAUUACUUUUAGGACUUGACACCCAAAGCAAAGGCAGCAAAAGCAAAAAUAAACAGGUGAGAUUACAUCAAACUAAAAAGUUUUUUCAGGGAGUUCCCAUUGUGGCUCAGUGGUGAUGAACCUAAUAUCCAUGAGGAUGCAGGUUCAAUCCCUGGCCUCACUCAUUGGGUUAAGGAUCCAGAGUUACAGUGAGCUGUGGCGUAGGUCACAUCCAUGGCUUGGAUCUGGCAUUGCUGUGGCGUAAGCCAGUGGCUACAGCUCCAAUUAAACCCCUAGCCUAGGAACUUACAUAUGCCAUGAGUGUGGCCCUAAAAAUAAAUGAAUAAAUAAGAAGCUUUUUUAUAGCAAAGGAGACUAUCAACAAAAUAAAAAGGCAGCUUAAUGAGUAAGAGAAAAUAUUUACAAAUGAUAUGUAUAAUAAGGCAUUAAUAUCCAAAAUUCAUAAAGAAUUUAUAUACUCAACAUCAAAAAAUCAACCCAGGAAUUCCUGUCGUGGCUCAGUGGUUAACGAACCCAACCAGUAUCCAUGAGGGGGCAGGUUCGAUCCCUGGCCUUGCUCAGCGGGUUAAGGAUCCGGCGUUGCCAUGAGGGGUGGUGUAGGUUGCAGACACAGCUCGAAUCUGAAGUUGCUUUGGCUGUGGCAUAGGCUGGGUGGCUACAGCUCUAAUUUGACCCCUAGACUGGGAACCUCCAA
This 5807-nucleotide long non-coding RNA is filed under the name Sus scrofa (pig). Its description in RNAcentral is "lncRNA (ENSSSCG00045011923.1)". Lineage: Eukaryota; Metazoa; Chordata; Mammalia; Artiodactyla; Suidae. The record is from RNAcentral.